UGGGGAAUAUUGCACAAUGGGGAAAGCCCUGAUGCAGCGACGCCGCGUGAAGGAAGAAGUAUCUCGGUAUGUAAACUUCUAUCAGCAGGGAAGACAAUGACGGUACCUGACUAAGAAGCCCCGGCUAACUACGUGCCAGCAGCCGCGGUAAUACGUAGGGGCAAGCGUUAUCCGGAUUUACUGGGUGUAAAGGGAGCGUAGGCGGUAAGGCAAGUCUGAUGUGAAAACCCAGGGCUCAACCCUGGGACUGCAUUGGAAACUGUUUAACUGGAGUGUCGGAGAGGCAAGUGGAAUUCCUAGUGUAGCGGUGAAAUGCGUAGAUAUUAGGAGGAACACCAGUGGCGAAGGCGGCUUACUGGACGGUAACUGACGUUGAGGCUCGAAAGCGUGGGGAGCAAACAGGAUUAGAUACC
RNAcentral lists this ribosomal RNA (413 nucleotides) under uncultured bacterium. RNAcentral's name for it is "bacterial SSU rRNA". It matches the Rfam family "Bacterial small subunit ribosomal RNA", at positions 355 to 786 of the family's 1533-position model. The record is from RNAcentral.